UUCCCCUACUUCACUCUCUCUCCUCCCUCACGCUCUUCACCCCUUUUCCCAAUUCUCAGCACUCUCUUCUGAUGCACUCUCUAUUGAUGGAGGCCACAGCUGUCAGCAACCAUUUCCGACCAAGAAAACAGUGAUCGGGACGAACUUACAGAUUGUGUCGGCCUACCAAUAGACUUUAUCAUCAAGAAAUAAUAAUCCCUAUCCACAACCACAAGACAUUCUUUCUCCUCAUCUAGACAGUAUGAAGCGAGGCAACCUUUCCUUCUUGAUCGCAAUGCAGCGAUGGCUGAUGCAUCAGGUUCAACUGUCUCAAGGCUAUGAUUAUGUUGAAUUGAAAGCAAGAUGCUGAGAAAGCCCACCUUUACAAUGUUUACAUCGGCUUUUUGCCUUUUUGUUUUUUUUACCACUGAACCAUUGUAAACAUGAUGUUAUUUCGUGUUACUAGAUACUUCAGAAGUACAAAAUUAUGAUUGUAUUCACUCGUGGCAUUAUGAUAUUCAUAUUAAAAGUGAAAUUUCAGUCCUUAAUGUUAGCUACGCAUUUAUUUCCUUGCAUAUGAGAUACGAAAUUUUUAUCCUAUGGUAUCUAAACUUGCGUUACAGCAAAAGUUCCUAUCUGCUAAUUCCUUCUGAAGCAUCGUGUUUUUCAUUAUUCCAUCUAUGCGGCGACCUUGUAAUUCGAGGAUAUCGGUUAGAUUUCAAGUUUACACUUUCUUAACUUAUCCUUCAUGCCUCUUAGGUUGAAUCCGCUGAGGCAGGAAUUUCAUCAGAUCAAACCAGACCUAAGGUUAUCAAUUCAUGUUUCUUGAUAAAGAUGGAUUUGUUCCUUAGAAAUAGCAUUUCACUUUCUAUAAAAUUAAUUUACAUAAGAUUUUUUUUUUUAAUUUUUAAGUUCUUACAUGCACCAUAUAUUUAAUGAGUCAUUUUGCCAGUUCCCAUGUGUAUAUUGGACUUGCCUAAGUGCUCGGUUUGUGGUGCUAACUCGUAUCAAUCACCUUAUUUUGAAGGACAAAAUAAAGCUAAAUUCUAGCAAAGAUGCAACACGAAGCACCGUAGAAUCAAGCAACUUGCACUAAACAACUAAUAACUGUAUUGAUAA
Molecule: long non-coding RNA, 1098 nt
Organism: Nymphaea colorata (pocket water lily)
Lineage: Eukaryota; Viridiplantae; Streptophyta; Magnoliopsida; Nymphaeales; Nymphaeaceae
Exons: 3
Source: RefSeq, a predicted model, not a curated record